GAGAACUUCGGGAGGCGGGGGAGGAAAGCGGCCGGCGAGCGCUGGCUGACAUUUUCCUGCCCGGAAGGAUGCAUGGCCCGGGGUCUCCUGCACCUGAGGGUGGGCGGGAGGCGGCCCCGCGGGUUGUGUUGCUGGAAAAAGGGGUCUCGAUCCAGACCCCAAGAGAGGGUUCUUGGGUCUACUUCAGGGAAGAAUUGGAGGCGAGUCACAGAGCGCAGUGAAGGAAGCAAGUUUAUUGGAAUCUACUCCGUUAGAGAGUGCAAGUCCUCAGACUGCAGGAGGAGGAACUCCCGUCCUUCGGUAGUGUCACUACUUAGAGGCAGCUGUGAGGAGCUGUGAUUAAUCGUGGAAUGUGCUGAUGUGCCCACUAAAGCAGAGGAAUAACGCCAGAAAGUGUUCCAGUACAACCAGAGAAAGAGAGUCCAUGAGAAAUCUGCCCUUGUGAAGUUGGAAUCCCCUCAACCUCACCCCGCUGACUUGAAUGAAGCGACUGAGACGGGCUAUGAUGGAGCAGAUCCGGUUGCUCGACCUUCUCCCUUGCACCAACACAUGUAGUUAAUAGUUACUGGACAUGCAUAUUCAGUGGGUUCCAGGUACCAAACUUGUAUUGAAUGGUAUGUGCCAGACACCGUCUUGAGAUCUGGAGAAUAAAAAAAUAAAAAAAUAAAAACGAGACAUCCAGAGCACAGUAGCCUUGCGGUCUUCCUGGAACUAGAGAAAAUUCAGCCCUUCUGCUCCUUGGGAAGCUAUGUUUGGGAAAAAAAAAAAAAGAGAGAGAGAGAGACUCCAAAGAGUUUGUUAUUAAAUUUAAGUUCAAACUAGGUGUAUAUAGUACAAAAGUUCUUACCAUGCAUUUAAUCUUAAAAUGUGCUGAUAUCUAGAACCCUAAAACCCUGCACUUUUUUAUUGCCUCUUACAUUAUUAUUUUGGUCAUGUAUGAAAUAUAUCAGGCAUCUCUCGGUACAGGUGAAAUGCUACAUGUUCUAAACUAAGGAAUAAGUGCAUUAUUAUAAUGUCUUCCUUGGCCAAACUGUAUAAAUCCCCCCCUCCGCCCGCCCCGGCCAACAUCCCUUCCCUGCUUUUUUUUUUCUUUCUUUCCUAGUGCUUACCUUCACCUAAAAUGUCCUAUAUUUUUACUUUUUUUUUCUGGUUAUUUUCUUUCUUUCUUUUUUUUUUUGACAGUCUUGCUCUGUCACCCAGGCUGGAGUGCAGUGGCGCGAUCUCGGCUCACUGCAACCUCCACCUCCCAGGUUCAAGCGAUUCUUCUGCCUCAGCCUCCCGAGUAACUGGAACUACAGGCCCGCGCCAUCAUGCCUGGCUAAUUUUUGUAUUUUUCUUUAGUGGAGACAGGGUUUCACCAUAUUGGCCAGGCUGGUCUUGAACUCCUGACCUCGUGAUCCGCCCGCCUCAGCCUCGCAAAGUGCUGGGAUUACAGGCCUGAGCCACCGAGCCUGGCCUCUUUCUUUCUUUUCUUUCUUUCUCUCUCUCUUUCUUUCCUUCUCUCUCUCUCUCUCGGCUGACCACCAAGCCUGAGUACUUUUUGUAUUUUUUGUAGAGAUGGGGUUUUGCCACAUUGCUCAGACUGGUCUCAACUGAUCAGCUCACUUCGGCCUCCCAAAGUGCUAGGAUUACAGGCAUGAGCCAUUGUGCUGGGCCUUUUUCUGGUUAUUUUCUCCCUGCCCACUAGAAUGUGAGUUCCAUAAGGGCAGGGCUGAAAGUUUUGUUGCUUUUUGCUACCGCUACUAUUUUUCAAGAAUUUGUAACCAGUGUACUUUGUGCGAGUACCUAGCACAUAGUAGCUGUUCAAUAAAUAUUUACUGAGUACA
Molecule: long non-coding RNA, 1826 nt
Organism: Homo sapiens (human)
Lineage: Eukaryota; Metazoa; Chordata; Mammalia; Primates; Hominidae
Gene: FLVCR1-DT
Product: FLVCR1 divergent transcript
Source: Ensembl